This 458-nucleotide ribosomal RNA is filed under the name uncultured bacterium. Its description in RNAcentral is "partial 16S ribosomal RNA". It matches the Rfam family "Bacterial small subunit ribosomal RNA", at positions 338 to 795 of the family's 1533-position model. The record is from RNAcentral.
CCUACGGGAGGCAGCAGUGAGGAAUAUUGGUCAAUGGGCGAGAGCCUGAACCAGCCAAGUCGCGUGAGGGAGUACUGCCCUAUGGGUUGUAAACCUCUUUUGUCGGGGAGCAAAAGCCGGACGUGUCCGGCUGUGAGAGUACCCGAAGAAAAAGCAUCGGCUAACUCCGUGCCAGCAGCCGCGGUAAUACGGAGGAUGCGAGCGGUAUCCGGAUUUAUUGGGUUUAAAGGGUGCGCAGGCGGAUUUUUAAGUCAGCGGUAAAAUCGUGGGGCUCAACCCCAUCCAGCCGUUGAAACUGGGGAUCUAGAGUGUGCGAGAGGUAUGCGGAAUGCGUGGUGUAGCGGUGAAAUGCAUAGAUAUCACGCAGAACCCCGAUUGCGAAGGCAGCAUACCGGUGCACAACUGACGCUCAGGCACGAAAGCGUGGGUAUCGAACAGGAUUAGAUACCCCAGUAGUC